Molecule: long non-coding RNA, 266 nt
Filed under: Helianthus annuus (common sunflower)
Lineage: Eukaryota; Viridiplantae; Streptophyta; Magnoliopsida; Asterales; Asteraceae
Description: hypothetical non coding rna
Source: RNAcentral
AUGAACGGACUAAAGAUGUUAGAUAUCCAGCUAUUACAUUGUGAAUGAAGUUUAUCGGCCGUUGAGGGGGCUAUGAUGACUAAACGUGAUUUGCCAGCUCAUAUUCUGUGACUUUGGAAGUGCAAAGUUUUGAGUUGAUUCUUACUUGAUCUAGAUCUUGGUGGGUCCUUAUGAACGGACUAAAGAUGGUUUUCAAGAUCCCAUGAGCAGGGCUGAUGGGCCCGAGUUUAUUACACAAUGUCCAAUUAGACCAGGAGGGAGUUACA